Molecule: long non-coding RNA, 1203 nt
Filed under: Coturnix japonica (Japanese quail)
Lineage: Eukaryota; Metazoa; Chordata; Aves; Galliformes; Phasianidae
Description: lncRNA (ENSCJPG00005020632.1)
Source: RNAcentral
AAUAUUCUCUGCGAUAAAGUUCACUUCUGGGCAGAAAGCCAACAAAAGGCUCAUGCACCACUUAAGUCCCACUUAAACCCUAUUUCGAAGGCUUAAUAGUACAUAGGCCACUUUCUGGCCUCUUGCCCAGGAGUGAAUUUUACCAUGUUAGCAUCCCCUCUCUCUGCAUGGACAGAGAGCAAAAGGGCAAAGCUUUUCUGCUGGGCAGUGAGCUGAUUUCUGGAAGACAACAUCAGUAUUCUUUAUUCAAAAGAAAGCAACAAAUCCAUGGAACAACAUCCCUCCUGGUUUAAAGCUAAUCCACCUUCCCUUUGUACCAACAGUUCUGUCCUGCAAAGCUGGAAUAUACCAAACUACUGAUACACAGCUACUAUUGAUAUCUCUCUGUGGCUGUCUUGCACUGUUAAAGAUCUUCUGCUGUCCUUUUCCAAGCUUGGAUUAAUUUUGCCUCACUGGUGACCAUUAAGUGAAUUAGAAAAUUUUCUCUCUGCUGUUCUAAAGAUUUCUGAGAUUACUGUGCUCGUCUGUCCUGUAAUCUGGAGGGAAAAAGAUAAAGCUGUGAAGGUGUUUUCCAUUUCAAGAGCUCUCUAUAAGCAACAAUAUCUAGAAAAUAUUUCUCAUUAUCAGAAACUAUUUCUGAUUAUCAUUAGGUUACAGUACCUUGUAUUUUCACCUCAUAUAUGGGGCUCAUCUUGCUGUUUACUUGCAGGUGGUUAUGGGAGGAGCCCCUGAAAUAGAAGAUAAUCUCAAAGAUGAAUGUGGUCAGUCCUUGUCCUAAAACAAAAGUUUUUUUUUGAUGAUGUUCCUGCUACAAUUAUUGAAAGUUAAACAUGCCAUUAUGGGAUAUGGCUUUCUGUGAAUGGAUACCUACCCGUACUGAUAAAGUAGACUGGAAAUCUGAUUUCCUGAUCAGCUCUUUUAACUGUGCAUUUCCUUCCUAAUUCACAAUUGAAACAUAGAGCAAAGUAACGAGGAGUUAUAUCUGUUCUGAAGAAUGCUAUGCACGUCUAUAGCAGAAUUCUAUCAAUAAUAUCAAUUUAUUCUUUUCACAAAAGAUUGUGGACACAGCAAAAGCUAGCAAUGUGUGCAUGCAGUACCUUCAUGUGUACGUCCAUGGAGGCAAUCUACACCGGCAAGAGAGACAUUGGCAAAUGUAAGUGUUAUGGUGCUAUGCAAAAUCCAUCUUUUAAAUGUAGCCUUUGA